AUGGUGCAGUAUAAUUUCAAGAAAAUCACUGUUGUCCCUCCUGGGAAGGACUUCAUUGACAUAAUCUUGUCCCGCACUCAGAGGCAAACACCAACUGUUGUCCACAAGGGCUAUGCUAUCAACCGCAUUCGCCAGUUCUAUAUGCGCAAGGUUCGCUAUACCCAGCAGAACUUCUAUGAAAAGCUGUCCACCAUCAUCGAUGAGUUCCCCAGACUGGAUGACAUCCACCCUUUCUAUGGCGAUCUCCUUCAUGUGCUCUACAACAAGGAUCACUACAAACUUGCCUUGGGUCAGAUCAAUACAGCUAGAAAUAUCAUUGCAAAGAUCUCCAAGGACUAUCUGAGGCUGCUCAAGUAUGGAGACACCCUGUACCGGUGCAAGUGCCUGAAGGUAGCUGCACUAGGUCGCAUGUGUACUGUUCUAAAGCGUAUCAGUCCUAGUUUGGCAUACCUGGAGCAGAUCAGGCAGCACAUGGCCAGCUCUUUCAUGAACAAGGUUACGAGGGCUGAUGUGGACGUACAGCCUUAUGCUUUCACAACAAAAUCCCUUUUUGUUGGCCAUGCAGAUUACAAGUAUCUGCGGUACCAAGUGAUUGACACUCCAGGGAUCCUUGAUCGUCCUUUUGAGGACAGGAACAUCAUAGAGAUGUGCAGUAUCACCGCUGUUGCUCACUUGAGGGCUGCUGUGCUGUUCUUCUUGGACAUCUCUGGUUCUUGUGGGUACACUAUUGCUCAGCAAGCUGCACUCUUCCACAGUAUUAAAUCCUUGUUCAUGAAUAAGCCUCUGGUCAUUGUGUGCAACAAGACUGAUUUGCAGCCGCUUGACGGGCUUUCUGAAGAGGACAUGAAGCUGGUGAUGGAGAUGAAGUCAGAGGCUAUGAAGACUAUACCUCAAGGUGGAGAUCCUAGUGAAGAGGGUGUUUUGUUGACUAUGAGUGCUUUAACAGAUGAGGGUGUGAUGGCUGUUAAAAAUGCUGCAUGUGAGAGGCUUCUUGAGCAGAGGGUGGAGAUCAAGAUGAAGUCAAAGAAGAUCAAUGACUGCAUAAACAGGUUUCAUGUUGCUAUGCCCAAGCCUCGUGACAACAGAGAUAGGCCUACUUGUAUUCCUCAGGCUGUUCUUGAAGCUCAAGCGAUUGCUGCUGCAAAGGAAAAGAAGAAACUUGAGAGGGACCUUGAGAAUGAGAAUGGAGGUGCUGGUGUCUAUUCCGCCAGUCUCAAGAAGCAUUACUUGUUGGCUGAUGAUGAAUGGAAGGAAGAUAUUCUCCCUGAGAUAUUGGAUGGCCAUAAUGUUGCUGAUUUCCUGGAUCCGGAUAUCUUGGAAAGGUGUGAGGAGCUGGAAAGGGAGGAGGGUCUUCGUCUUGAAGAAGAGGCUGCUCAGGAUGCUUUCAUGAUUGAUGGCCAUGAUGAAUUAACUGAAGAACAGCGAGAGAUAUUGGGUAAGAUUAGGAGGAAGAAGGCAAUGCUCAUCCAAGAGCAUAGGAUGAAGAAGAGUACUGCAGAGAGCCGUCCUAUUGUUCCAAGGAAGCAUGACAAGGAUAGGAAGUUCACAACCAAGAGACUGGGCAGGCAACUCACAUCCAUGGGCGUUGAUCCUACCGCGGCUGUGAACCGACUUCGCAGCCAGUCAAGAGGCCGUAAGCGUGAGAGGUCACUGAGCAGAGCUGAUGGUGACGACGCUAUGGACGUUGAUGGCCAGCACUCCGACAAGAAGCUGCGUACGAGGUCGAGGUCUAGGUCCAAAUCACGACCAAUUGAAGAGGUCGUACCAGGUGACGGGAUCCGGGACGUUGCUCAAAAGAAGAAGGCCAUCAAGAAAUCGAGGGACUCUGUCAAGAACAGGAACAAGGAGGCUCGCCGUGGAGAGGCGGAUCGCGUCAUCCCCACCUUGAAACCGAAGCAUCUCUUCUCUGGAAAACGAGGAGUUGGAAAGACCCAGAGGCGAUAA
Molecule: ribosomal RNA, 1944 nt
Filed under: Triticum aestivum (bread wheat)
Lineage: Eukaryota; Viridiplantae; Streptophyta; Magnoliopsida; Poales; Poaceae
Description: partial small subunit ribosomal RNA
Source: RNAcentral